RNAcentral lists this ribosomal RNA (141 nucleotides) under Lacaena spectabilis. RNAcentral's name for it is "partial 18S ribosomal RNA". It matches the Rfam family "Eukaryotic small subunit ribosomal RNA", at positions 1695 to 1831 of the family's 1831-position model. Lineage: Eukaryota; Viridiplantae; Streptophyta; Magnoliopsida; Asparagales; Orchidaceae. The record is from RNAcentral.
GGUCCGGUGAAGUGUUCGGAUCGUUGUGACGUGGGCGGUUCGCCGCCCGCGACUCCGCGAGAAGUCCAUUGAACCUUAUCAUUUAGAGGAAGGAGAAGUCGUAACAAGGUUUCCGUAGGUGAACCUGCGGAAGGAUCAUUG